Molecule: long non-coding RNA, 15095 nt
Filed under: Triticum aestivum (bread wheat)
Lineage: Eukaryota; Viridiplantae; Streptophyta; Magnoliopsida; Poales; Poaceae
Description: long non-coding RNA (TAES_LNC023009)
Rfam family: MIR1120/MIR1122 microRNA precursor family (bases 2594-2680)
Source: RNAcentral
CAGUUACCCGGUUCAUAUGCUACCUACUACUACUCGAUCGAUUGGUCCAGAGACUAUGCUCGAGAGAUGAGACAACCAUCGAUCGAUAUACAUAUGUGUGUCCAGUUUGUGCUUUGUGCUUGUCUUAAUUAUAUCGGAUAUGUGGAAUAAAUGUGUGUUUACUUCCGUUUGAUACAUGAAAGUAUUUAUGUUACUCUGUUAUUAUGCUUGUUAGGUCCACCAGGGCCUCCAUAAUGCCAAGCCCGUCAAUGCUUCUUUUGUUUGAUCAGCUGAUCUCGAUCAGGCCCUGGUUUGAGAUAGCGGGGUUUAUUUCCUGUUCCUGCCAGAAUUCAACACUUCAUUGCCUCUUUGGUUCAAAGGAUUUUUAUAGUAGGAUUUUGGGAGGAUUGAAAAAAAAUUAGGAGUUAGUUCUAGGUUGGUCGUUUGAUUAGUAUGAUUGAAUCUAUAGGGAUUUCCAUAGUAAAUCUUAGCAUCCACUCCAAUCUGCUGGAAAAUUUCUUUGCUUUUCUUGUGAUGCAAUCAAACAAACUCCAAAGUCAAAUCAUGUAGGAUUCAAUUGGGCAUGACACUCUAAGGCUUCCUCUGGAUAUCAUGAGAAUAGGAAAAUCAUAAGAAAUGAGAUGACAUGUAUUUCAAUUUCAUGGAGAAAGAGAUGUCAUUCGAUGCAUAGGAUAGGAAUUUUGUCAUUGAGUCUAGGGUAAUGUUUUUUUUCCUUUGAAAUGCGAAGUAUUGGUUCCUAUCCUACAUAAGAAUAGUAAUCCAUUUCUACAAAGUAAAGGGCUCCGAAGGAAUUUUACCUUUGAAAAUUAUAUCCUAUAUAACUCCCACAAAAUUCCUACAGACCAAAGGAAGCCUGGUCAUGUAUUCUUCCUAUUCCGGUGUUUUUACAAUCAUGCGAAUGAAAUAAGUCCAGGCCUUCUUUGGUUUAGAGGAAUUUUGUAAGAAUUCUAAAGGAUAGAAAUUUUGUAGGCAAAAUUCCUUUGGAGCCAUUUGCUUUGUAGGAAUGGAUUCCUGAUCCUGUGUAGAAUACGAAUUAAUCCUUCACAUUUCAAAGGCCAAUGGAAAAAUUCCUACCGUAUGAAUCAAGUGACAUCUCUUUCUCUAUAGGAAUUGAGAAGUAACAUCUCUUUCCCUAUAGAAAUUGAGAUACAUGUCUUCUCUUCCUAUGGUUUCCUAUUCCUAUCAUAUGAACCAAACGAGUGGAAUUUCCCACGAUAUUUCUGUGUUCCAAACAGGCCACUAGUUAUGCGAAUCGAACAGUUUCAUGUGAAGUUCCUGCAUUCCAAACAGGCCGUUGUUUACGGUUUACCAGACAGUUUGGUAGCCUCUACUUACAUGGCGGCACCAAGGAUGUUUGCAGUCACAGAACAGGCUCAAGCUCCCAAUAUAGAAACUACCCAAAUCCAUGUCUACAUCAAUAGUAUCUUUCAGGGUACUAUGCCUCAUAAGAUCAUAUAUACCAAUUAUGGAAACAUUUUGUGGCAUGUGAAAUGGAUACAGAUGAUCACGUCGACAUCUACCGACUUAUUCCUCCGUGGGCGUUUUCUCCCACAUAAUCCAGCACAUCUAGUGUCACCGCCUACAAGCUUCAAUUCACACUGCUUACAGUUUUGAUGCUGCGACAUAGCUCUGCUCAGAAUGCCCCUCGACAAAGCUCUGCUUGGCAUGUUUGCCAGAUAGCCAGGGAGCGAGCGCGUCGACCAGCCUCUUGAUGUCAUCCGAGGAAUGAGAAGCACUCAAAGUUAUUCGCAGCCUGCCAAGAGAUUCAUGGCCAGUUAAUCUUGGUCGACAGUUGAAACAGAGUCUCAUUGGUGAUCAUCUGUACUAACAUCGAGCAGGAAUCCAUAGAUACAGAGACAUGCAUGCUACAACAGAUCUUGCUAAUUAUGACAUUGUGCUAUAUGCCCUUAAUCGAAAAGUCCUAGUCCAGUUACUUGGACACAGGGUUGCAGGUUCUAUAUUGGUGAAGUUCAUGACAAGACACUGGAUUGCAAACGAAAAAACAGAAGGGAGGAGGGACCUGCAUGAGUUGGGCGGCACGGUGGGUGGUCGAAUUGGUGUAACAUGAAAUCCAGAUCUUAGCAUAUGCCUGCAGUUCAAAGAUGGAAUAAUUAGGAACAUAAGAUGACCAGACUGGCACUAAAUAAAAUUGGAAGGAAGAGAUAUAACCUGCCAGCCCUCAAUGCUGCUUCUUCACUUCCUACUACUAUGGAAAUUAUGGGACUAGUUAUAUUGAGUUUAGUCAAGGAUGCAAAAUACUGCACAUGCCUCCAGACCAAUAAUCUCCGCCAUCGUUCCUUCCUCGAGACAUGGAGCGCAGCUGAAAUGAGAAAACAGCACGGAUGUUUGAAGCAGUGUGAUAGUUUCUCUUUCAGAAAAAUGCAAGUUCCUGAUAACUAUAGUUUCUUAAGCUAGCUGAAGUGUUUGUACCCAGUUAUCAUUCUUACUGACCAAUGUGAAAGCACUAGUCAUCAUUUUAAGCAUUUCCUAAUGAAAAGAAGGUAAGAGAAAAUAGUGGACAUCAGCCCAAUAAAUGGAACACAACAAUGACAGACCGCUAGCUUGCGAUAUUCAUUUUAGAGGGUUCUAUGACAUACUCCCUUCGUCCCAUAAUAUAAGAACGUUUUUGACACUACACUAGUGUCAAAAACAUUCUUAUAUUAUGGGACGGAGGGAGUAGUUGGUAUGUUGUGAAUAUUACCUUGAACAGAAGCAACUACUGGCACUGGCAAAGCAGUUGAAAAAAUGAACGAACGACCUCGCGACUGAAUUAAACUCUUCCAUCGGGUGCUGCUCAACACAUUGCAAUUUUUUAGUUAUUAGCCAGUAAACUAUCAAGAUAUCAUAGUAAGUCCAAAGUGUAGGGAAGCCAUGCAGUGUGGAGUGCUGAUAUUCCAGAGUCAAGUGUCCAGUACCAUAAAUAUACAGUGUUGCAAAUGUGCAUAACAUCCUAUUCAUUGAAUUAUAAGCAUGGGGCACUGUGGUGCAAAUUUGCCAAAGCUAAUUUAUAUGAUAUGAUCCAGAACCUUGAAAAUCACUUUAUGUGAUCUCGUUUUUUUUUUUACUAAAAUCAGUGCCGCAAUGUACAAAAGUGUGUGCAUUCAUACGACAACCUGAUAUAAGUGUCUGUUUACCUGCAUGCCACAAACCCACCCUGGCAGCCAGCAGCCUUGCUCAAGGUGCCAACACUUAUGUCAAUUCCACUCUCACAUUCAAGCAGCUCGGGUACACCACCACCAUUAUCACCACAAACAAGUGUUCCAUGGGCCUGUCCAAGGAAAAUCGCAACAAAAUCGAUCACUAAGAAAUUCUGCAAAACUGUAUCUGAGGGGAGAUAAAAUUACUAACAUCAUCGAUGACCAAUAAAAAUCCAUACUUCCUGCGUAGUUCCACAAGUUCAGGUAAUGGAGCAAAAUCACCAUCCAUGCUAAACAAGCUGCAUUGUAUCAAUAAAAGAGUAUCUGAAUUUGGUGCUCUGACAAUAUGCAUACACAAGCAUGCCUCUACUUAUACUUCACACAAACAUAAAUAUACUUUUUAAGUGAGGAAAUUAAAUUUGAGAAAAAACUUGCCUAUCUGUGACAACAACUUUCUUUUUUAUUGAGCAACUGGACCUGCACGGAUAAUGGUAUUGUAUUGUAGCUAUCUCAGUUCAUGAUUACAUAUGGCAUAUUAUGCAAUAAUGAUAUUAUGACUGAAAAGUGAAAAAACAUACAGGAGGAAAUCAAGAUGGGACAUGUCACAGUGCUUGUAGACAAACACUACAGCUUCUUGCUGCCGCUCAAUAAGGCGAAUCCCAUCGAUGAUUGAAGCAUGAUUCAGGGCAUCUGAAAAAAUAGCAAUUCUCUCGUCCUUUGCAGGUUUUCUGCCAACCGCCAAAAGAGAGCUGAUACUUCCCAGAGCAGUCAUCACAGCCAUAUUGGCAGAAAAUCCGGUGGGGCAGAGAAGGCAAUCCUGUAGAAAAACUCUAAAGUGAGGAUGCAAAACUUGUGAAAUAAUGACUACUUGAACUAAAAAAAUACGACGCUGGACCUCUUUUUUCUUCAACUCUGCCAAUGAUUCCUCCACCAAUUUGUGAUAAGUAGUAUACCCACAUAUCAAUGCGGAGCCUCUAGGGCCCAUGCCAUACUCUUGAGCUGCCUAGCAAACGCACCCAAUCGUUAGCUCAAGCAGAGACUCGUCGAUUCAGAGUACUCUACAGUCCUAACAAUCGCCACGAUUGCAGAACUUGCACACCUUUGCUGCGGCCUCACGGACUGCCGGAUGUGAGCUGAGUCCCAUGUAGUCAUUCCCGGAGAAAAGAAUGAGCUUCUCACCCAGCUCCUCUUCCUGGCCACUGGCCUCGCCACCUAAACCAAACGUGCCCAUGAACAAGCCAUGUAGUGAGCACUAGCAGUAAAUCUUGAAAGUGCAAUAUAACCAGAAACUAUAAAUAAAUAAACACAAAUAAACUCUGGAGCGUUGUUCUUUCUUUUUGCAAACCAUAUCCUAACAGCUAACAGGGACACAGUCACACAGCAAGGCAUCAAGUAUAUAUUAAUAACACCCAAAAAUAGUAAGCGGAAUUGUCUAGGGCGUUAUAGCGAGCAAGGGAGGUAUAUUGACACUGCCUGCUGCAGACCUUCGGCGAGCCACUGGUGGAGGGUGGCGCGGUCGAGGCGGAUCUCGACGGCGGCGCGGUCCCACGGGCCGGGGCCUGGGAAGGUCUCCGGCGGCGCGGGCGGCAGCGCCAGGGAGAUGGGGCGCGUGGCGCGCAGGAGGCUCCUGGACGCCAGCUCGCCGAGCGCGGCGUCCACGAGCGCGUCCCAUUGCGCCAUUCCGUCGAACAGGCGGCCGCCGCUCCCUCCUCGCUGGUGGUGGGACGGAGAGGACGAGGCGCGGACACGGAGAAGGGUCACAUGACAGAGCGGUUGGCCCACGCUUCCGUGACCAACAACGUCAGCCCAACCAGGAUCGGCCCGAGUUAAAGACUAUAUUGGGCCACAGGCCCACAACCGAUUGUAUUGUACUCGGCCCCGUGACGCUCAUCGUGUCUCAGUUUCCCUGAAAAAACGGUAGUCAUGUCUCGGUCAAGCCGCCUCGAGCUUUCCCUCGAAAAAAAGAGACCGCCUCCACCACCACCAGCUCUCCACUCCGGCGACUCGAGCGCUCCUUUCGCCGGCGGGCGGUGGUUCUGCGCGGCGGUUGCUCGUGUAUAGGUGCGACUCCCUCUCGCGCUCCCGACUCCUCCUCUCCACAUCUCAGACACGAAGUCCCUCGUCUGCACGCUUGUUUUCAGUAGCCUCUGUUUAUGCUUGGUUUCUGCUACGUCCUGUCACAAUUAUGCCGGAUCCGUCUGUUAUGCUCGCGCGUGGUGUUCAGCCUAGUUUUCGAUGUGUUCGUGCCUGAUUUUGUGAUGAACUGAUGAUGGCAUGCUGUUGUUCUCGCUUUCGCGUGGUAGGGUUUCAGUUCAGCCCCUUUAUGUUGAGCACGAUCGAGGCGAAAUAGUUCAUACCAUGCCUGGUAUUACAUGAUUAUGUGAUACUUUCUGUAGACCUGGUAUAGAACAUGUUUGUGGCAUGCUUGUUUAGUUCAUAUGGGAAGAACUGUGACUGUCCUUACCGGCUGAUUUUAUUUUGGCAAACACAUUGAUGGAUUCCUGUCUUUUCUACUGUGAUUGCUUUUCUUCGAGCCACGAGCUUGGGAUUUGAGAAUGAUUCUUAGCUAUUUUCAGUUGCCACUUUGUCAUUAGGUAUGCAGUAAUUUGUCUUUGGAUUAUCUACUUGUUGUUGCUUGCGUAGUUCAGAACUGUUGUUAUUUUUCUGAAAAUCUGUAAGUUUGGACGGGGAAAUUCGAACAGCAUAUAUUUCAUAACGGUCAAGGAUGUGGAACUUAUGAAUACUUGUGUUUACGAGUUUGCACGUGACUGUGUGCUUUUAAUAUUUUAAUUGGCAGUUUAUAUACAUUGCGUGUUCUUGUUCAGGCUCUCGGUUAUGCGGCCUGCCGGCCCACCAAUAUAAGAGCUGGUUCGCGAGAAAAUGAUGUUUGGAGAUUUUUCACUUUGAUUGGUGUCACGUCAUGAUUUUUUUGCUCCAGUUGUUAUUGUUCUUGUCAUGUUGCUGUACUGUGUGGAUAUAUAGUUUGCGUGCCAUCUACUUAUAUAGAGUCAUGAAAACGUUGACUUUAUUCUGCUUUUACAUAGUGCUUGCUCGUAAUUUUAGGACUUUAGGUAUAUAUGCAAGGUUUAGCCAGCAGAGUUUGUCUCAAUUUUAGAUUUAGAUGUCAAAAAUUGUUUGAGUGUCCCCUGUUGGUGAGUUUUCGUAUGGUUCCGGUACCUGUGUUACAGAAUGGCUUCAUCUCAUUGACUUCAUUAAGCAUUACUAUGUUUCUUAUGUUGGAAAACUGAGAAAUUCAAAGCAGAUUGCACCCUGUUGCUAUUUUUUACAUUGAAUAUCUACAAUUUAUUCCGGAAUAAUGUACGUGAAAUCUAGAAGCUUGCCUCUGAUACCUGUUUUUUGUUGAACAAUCAGGAAAAUGUCAUCAAAUCCUGAAGAAGGCAAGCGUUAUGCACGCAGAGACCUUUUGCUCAAGAUCCAGUCAGAUGCUCAUAAGUGUUGGGAGGAUAGCAAAGUUUUUCAUGCUGAGCCGGGCAAUAAAUCUCCAGGCCCUGGUGAAAAAUUCUUCGGCAACUUUCCGUAUCCUUACAUGAAUGGAUUGCUUCAUUUGGGACAUGCGUUCUCAUUGUCCAAGCUUGAGUUUGGUGCUGCAUACCACAGACUCCGUGGCUCAAAUGUUCUAUUGCCAUUUGCUUUCCACUGUACUGGGAUGCCAAUCAAGGCCUCAGCUGAUAAGCUGGCCAGGGAGAUACAACAGUAUGGAAACCCUCCAGUGUUUCCUCAACCAGAGAAUAAUUCAAGUGCUGAAGUGGCAGAUGAUAGAGAAGUUGAGCAGGCUGCUGUCGUUACCCCAGAUAAAUUUAAGAGCAAGAAAUCUAAGGCUGCUGCAAAGACUGGCAUGCAGAAGUUCCAAUGGGAGAUCAUGAAGAGCUUUGGCCUGUUAGAUGAACAAAUUGCCAAAUUUCAAGAUCCUUAUCACUGGUUGACCUACUUCCCUCCGUUGGCGGUAAAAGACCUUAAGGACUUUGGCUUAGGUUGUGAUUGGAGGCGUUCAUUCAUAACCACCAACAUGAAUCCUUUCUAUGAUGCUUUUGUUCGAUGGCAGAUGAGAAAGCUCAAGAAAAUGGGGAAAGUUGUCAAGGACCUGAGGUACACAAUCUACUCCCCAUUGGAUGGCCAACCUUGCGCCGACCAUGACAGGGCAACAGGUGAAAAUGCACAGCCACGAGAAUAUGUGCUGAUUAAAAUGGAGGUGAUUCCACCUUUUCCCACAAAGUUGAAGGUCUUGGAAGGAAAAAAUGUUUAUUUGGCAGCAGCUACAUUGAGACCAGAGACUAUGUAUGGCCAAACAAACUGUUGGGUGCUGCCUAAUGGAAUUUACGGGGCUUUUGAGAUCAAUGAUGCCGAUGUCUUCAUUCUGACAGCAAGGUCUGCUCUUAAUCUUGCAUAUCAGAAUCUAUCCAGGGUCCCCGAAAAGCCAACCUGCCUAGCUGAGCUUUCUGGCAAUGAUUUGAUUGGUUUGCCAUUAAAGUCUCCUCUUUCCUUCAAUGAAAUCAUAUAUGCGCUUCCCAUGCUCACUAUCUUAACAGAUAAAGGUACUGGCAUUGUGACUAGUGUUCCAAGUGAUUCGCCAGACGAUUUCAUGGCACUGCAAGCUUUAGUCACAAAGCCGGCAUUGAGAGCAAAAUUUGGAGUCAAAGACGAGUGGGUUCUUCCAUUUGAUAUUAUACCAAUAAUCGACAUUCCUGGAUUUGGAGACAAGUCAGCUGAGAAGGUGUGUGUUGAUCUUAAGAUUACGAGCCAAUACGACAAGGAAAAACUUGCUGAAGCGAAAAGGAUGACAUAUCUUAAAGGGUUUACAGAAGGAGUGAUGGUUGUAGGGGAGUACAAUGGCAGAAAGGUUGAAGAAGCAAAGCCACUGAUUAAGAACAAGCUUUUGGAAGAAGGCUUGGCUGUUUUGUAUAGUGAGCCUGAGAAAAAAGUUAUGUCAAGAUCUGGUGAUGAGUGUGUCGUUGCUCUCACAGAUCAAUGGUACAUAACUUAUGGUGAGGUUGAAUGGAAGCAGAAGGCGGUCAAAUGUUUGAAGAACAUGAAUACAUUUUCAGCUGAAACUCGUAAUGGGUUCGAGCAUACAUUGGGCUGGCUGAACAAGUGGGCUUGUUCACGUUCUUUUGGCCUAGGUACUCGCCUUCCAUUUGAUGAACAGUUCCUUGUAGAAUCUCUUUCUGAUUCAACUCUAUACAUGGCGUAUUACACGAUUGCGCAUCUUCUACAAAAUGGUGACAUGUAUGGAAAAGAAAGAUCUUCUAUUAGGCCAGAGCAAAUGACGGAUGAGGUAUGGGAUUAUGUUUUCUGUGAUGGUCUGGCACCCAAAAGCGACAUCCCUCCUGCUCUGUUGAGCAAAAUGAAGCAAGAAUAUGAGUACUGGUAUCCCUUGGAUAUUCGGGUAUCUGGUAAGGAGCUUAUCCAGAACCAUCUGACAUUCAGCAUUUACACUCAUACAGCUAUCCUUCCAGAGCAUCAUUGGCCUCGUGGAUUCCGCUGCAAUGGACAUCUUAUGCUUAACUCUGAGAAAAUGUCCAAGUCAACAGGGAAUUUCCAAACUCUUGGGCAGGCCAUUAAAGUGUACUCUUCAGAUGCCACCAGGUUUGCCCUUGCUGAUGCGGGUGAUGGUAUGGAUGAUGCAAAUUUUGUCACUGAAACUGCAAAAUCUGCCAUCAUGAGGCUUACAAAAGAAAUUGCAUGGAUGGAAGAGGUUAUAGCUUCUCAAUCUUCUCUGAGAUCUGGUCCUCCCUCUACUUAUGCUGACCAUGUGUUUGCCAAUGAGAUCAACAUUGCUGUGAAUGAAACCGAGAAGAGCCACAGUUCUUUUAUGUUCAGAGAUGCCUUGAAGUCUGGGUUCUAUGACCUACAAUUGGCUAGAGAUGAGUACAGGCUCUCUUGUGGAGCGGCAGGCAUGAAUCGUGAUUUAUUGGUGCGGUUCAUGGAAGUUCAGACGAGGCUCAUCACCCCAAUUUGUCCACACUAUGCUGAACAUGUGUGGCAGAAUAUCCUAAGCAAGGAAGGUUUUGCAAUAAAGGCUGGAUGGCCUAUCGCAGACACUCCCGAUCCUACUCUUAGAAUAGCAAACAAGUAUUUACAGGAUUCGAUUGUUUUGAUGAGGAAGCUGCACCAGAAGCAAGGAUCAGGCUCCAAGAAACACAAGAAGGGCGCGGCACCACCUCGGACCGCAGAGAACAAGCUCACUGUCGGUCUCAUAUAUGUCAACGAGCACUAUGACGGAUGGAAAGAGCAAUGCCUGAGGGUGCUUCAAUCGAAUUAUGAUAGCCAAACGCGUUUGUUUGCUCCUGACGAGGACAUUAGUGAGGCACUGAAGAAUUGCUUCAUUGAACAUGAAGCAAGCUUCACACAAGUCCAGAAGCUCUGCAUGCCUUUCAUCAGGUUCAAGAAAGAUGAAGCAAGGACCAUUGGUCCCCAGGCUUUGAAUUUGAAGCUUCCGUUUGGUGAAAUGAACGUGCUUGAGGAGAACCUGGAGCUGAUCAAAAGGCAGCUGGGCCUUGAGCAUGCAGAGGUGCUGUCGGCAUCUGAUGGAGCUGCUCGUGCCAGAGCUGGACGGCAUGUUUCUGUGCUGAACAACAACCCGCCUUCCCCUGGGGAGCCAGUUGCAAUAUUCAUGAGCAAGCAGGAGUUCGAAGCCCAAAACUAAGCUCAGCUUCAUCGAUGUAAGUCAUACUAUUAGCUUGCCUUACAUGUUUGCAGCUUGGCCAUUUCAUGUUAGUCAUGGGUGUAAUUAUUAUGAGAAUAAAUGUAGGUUGUAUUGCAGUGUUGUGGUCUGAAACUGGUUCCUCCUUGUGAUGGUUUGCUCUACUGUUAAGGCUCAAUUCGCUUCUAGAUUAAUGUGUUUAGUCAGAUUACAUGCACCCAUGUGUACACAAGUUCUGCUAUGCUUUUUGGCUGCACUGAAACCAAGUUCUAGAAUGUUCAGGAAAAACAAGUUCUGCACUGAAAUCUCUGUUCAUUUACCAUGCCUUGUAUGUGAUAUGUAUGGGGCUUUUUACCUGUCGUGGCAAUCCUGUGUGCUAUAUGUAGCUUGGGAAAUCAUGUAUAUAAAUGAGUGAUUUGUGUCUAGAAUCUCCUGCACCGUUGUCAGCCUUAUUAAAGAUAGAAACUCUGCCACUUGAUGUUACUGCUGCAACAGAAAUGUUGUCAGGCUUACUCAAGAUGGUCACUAGAUCACUCCAUGCUGGUAGUGUUGUAGCAGAAGAUGGGUCAGUAGCAUUACUGUAGUUGUGCCUUACGUCGCAGGGUAAUUGGCUCAUAGUGCUGAGGUAAAUAUCACUUUUGACAUUGUGUGUUUGUUAUGCGGUGUAUGGAUUCAUCUGUUGCGACACUCCUAUGAGGUAUAUGCUGCUUGAGGUCAUGUAUGAAAUGUGCUGAGGUUCUUCUUCCUUUGGAUGAAUAGGUGAGGAAAGGAAAGCUGGCGUGCUUGACGGUGUGAGGAUCCGAGAAGGUCAAGGAUUCAGAAAUGGUAGGCAUGCUGUUUGACGUGGCUGUUCAUUCAUGGGAGUGACUUCGAAUUCAUCAUACGGAAGAACUGAGGAAGUGCAGCCAUUGGGAAAUUGUACCAUACUUGCACAGGUUGACACGUGGGACGCCCACGAUCAGUCCCGCCUGCAGCCUGACAUGACAUGUUAAUUUGGCAGGUUUCCUGUGUUUAGACUUGAACAUACUUUUUUGCCUCGUGUGAAUAUUACAAAGGAAUAGGUUGAUGCGUGAGAACGAUUCCUGAGCUCCAUGCUCUUGUACAAUUAGUGCAAAAAACACUAUUAUAUUAUGGGACGGAGGAAGUAGCUUUUAAGCUUGCUUGUCUAUACAUCUUUUUUCUGAACAAGGCGUGUACAUUUUACAACUUCUCUGCUGUGUGCUUGUGAAGGUAUUAGUACAGAAGCCCUGGAGUUUUUACUAGGGAGUAUGGAACUCCAAGCCCUGGAGCGCGCUUCUCGCGAAUUGGCGCUUGAAACUUGGAAUUGCACUUGUUAUUAACAGUUGAAACAUUCAAGUUACUGUCAGCUCAAAAUGCUCUUGUUAUUCUUGGUUUCUUUACCCUUUCCAAAUGCAGUGGAGGCCAUCAGUUGUGUGCUCCAUGCAUGUGUUUCUUUAGUGCGCUGUACUCCAAGUGAGAGACCAAAAGCGGGGGAAACGGAGAGGAAGAAGAUGCAAACUAAACCAUACUGUAUGUUACAGAAGACUGGUGUAAUUGAUCAUGUAGAUCGAUCGAUCUGUUGGCUCCUGUUGUGACAAACUCGUGGUGGUGCUUGCUCCUUAUGGCACCGUUUGCCACACUGAUCACACACAGGAGGACGGAUGAAGUGAACUGAACUGAGCAGAGGAGCGUCAGGUCAGUCGAUCAAUCAAAGUAAACGUCGUGCCAGCUCCUCCGGCCGAGAAGCGCGGACUCGGGCGGCCACGCCCCCCACGCAUGGCGCGAGCCUACUGGACCGAAGCCCAAUCAGUCGCCGUCGGGGGAGACGCCCGCCAGUGCCGCCGGGCCAUGCCAUGCCAUGCCAGCGUGCACGCCACUGUGGCUCGUUCGCCUCAGGGUGCAGUGGCGCCGGUGCGCAGCGCGUGGCGUGCGCCGCGCACAUGGGGAGCGAGCGGCGCCGAGGCGAGGGCGGGCGCGCGCGGGGCUGCCGGGCACACGCACAUGGUCAACCGGCACAUGCCCGCCCCCUGUGCGCGCUGCGACCCCGUGCUCCGCACCGCGGCGCGUCCGUUCGUGGUUCACCCUCCACCUGGCGAGUGAUCGCCAGAGGGCAGGGGGCACGCGGGUGCGGCACCGCCACCCACCACGACGCACCGGCGCCGCCCGGGCCUACCGACGAUCUCUUCUCCGGCGACCGAUCGAUCCCGCACAGGGGCCUGUCGCUCGGCCAGCCGGGCUGCACCUGCACACACACACCCACCGGCGGCCACGCGUUCCACGCCAUGUUACGCACAGUCCAUGGGCCGAGCACGCACAGUGGCGGUACACAUAUAGAAUAUCUUUUCUGCCGGGGACCGCGGCCGGGUAAGUAAAAUCCCUGGCCUGAAGAUCAAACAAAGCUUUUGGAAGAAGCUUAUUAAAAAGGGGUCCCAGGGAAUGAUGGGAAGUGCGGAAGCAACCGUGGCCGCGGGUAAACGCCUAGCUAGGAGAGGCCCAGACCCAAGGCCAAGGCCAAGGGGGCACGCACGCACGACACGAUCACUGCACAUGGUACGGCGCCAUGCCAUGCCACCCGGACCCGGCCGAUCUAGAAGGAGUCAGUAGCCUGACAGGAUCAAAAUAAGCAAGGCAGCAUCAUGGUAAACGCAGGCACCAACAUGCGCUGCAAUUUGCAGGACGCCAACCGCGAACGCAAUCCCGACCGAUUAGUUAUAUGGGAAUCCAAGGAAACCCCGGCCCAAUUAUAGGGGCUCGCCUCACUCACUCGCCGCCACAAAAAUCCAAGGAAACCGAGCACAGCAGGCAAGCCUGUUUUGCUUCCAGAGAAGAGGAGAGCGUGCUCGUGCAGGGGCGCUCCGAGAGCCAGCCCCGGGCCCGACCAGGAGACCAUCGCCUCGCCCUCGUCCAUGUGCUCCGAUCCCAAUGCCGUAUUGCCAUCCAUCCACUGAUCCACACAGGCACACAGUAGCAUGGUGUACAAUAUGCUCCGCCAUGCGCCCGCCCCUUGCUUUUCCGGUUCUGCACUGGAUGCAUGGGCAGGCAGUCAUUUUCACAUCACAGCUUGGCUUGCAGCUGCAGGUACAACCGCGUUGGUUGUCUCCACUCUGCUUUGGCAGCUAAAGCCAAGGCCAGUGGGCACACCGGACGACGGACUGGACAGCAACAUCAACGUGCGGCUCCUCCCUCCAGCAGGGCCUGCGUGGGUGAGUUGUAAAAACAUGCAAACAGGCGUGGGGGGGGAGGGGGAGGGUGGUGUGCAGUGUGCUAUGCUACCUUUGGCCUUUGGGGAUGGAAUGGAUGGAUGGGCUGGUUGUGUCACCAGCAAGGCACCAGCCACCAGGGUGGUGGUGAAAGGAACAGAGCGUUGCGCAUGUCCCUGCCAGCUUCUUCUGGCAAAUGGGCCCAAGCUGUCAGCCAUUGUAUUUUGGAUUCAACUCAGUUCACUUCUUUUUUUUUCGGUGAGAAGUGAACUGAGAGAAAAUACCCUGGUUCGUCCAAAUAUAAGACGAGGGAAAUGAUUUGAAGUCAUUCAACGCAAUUAGAUCUCGUCCGAACAAAGAAGGGCAGAUGGAUACUUAUUAUUUAGCAUAGUCAUGAUAAAAAAAAUUGUAAAGAAGGAUGACCCCUCAGCCUUUGCAUCAGAACGAUGCAUGCAACCAUCAUAGGCGUGAUAAUGGUGUGCUGCAACGUUUUUUUUUUUUUGCAUGAGGCCGUCACAUCACAUCACAUUGUGGCACUGGUAUGAAAUGGGCUUGAUGCUGAUAUGUGCCACCCCUGUGGUGUGCACAUCAAAAUGGUGUGCAGGUUUUACACGGAUUUACCCAACCAUGCACAUCAAAAGAUCUACGUGAUGUUGUUUCUUUUUUGUAAAGGAGCGACGUUGCUUCUUUUACAAGACUGAAUUUGCAAAUUACAGAAUCUGAUAUACUUCUUUUGUUGUUUUCGAGAUCGCACUCAUGUGAAUAUCUUAUAGAAUUCACCAAUGGAAAAUCAUGUAUGUCUUGACUUCUUCAAGAAUGAACCCUACUGUACCGUAUAUGAACAACAAGACAUGAACUCUACCCGCAAAAAAAAACACGUCAACUUUUUUGUGUAACGAUUCAAGAAGGUUCAUGAAUUAUAAUUAAAAUGGUGCUAUUGAUUCUCGGCCGUCAGGAACUUUCACAAACCUUAGCCAACAAUAAUUGCACAUUAUUUGCCUAAUAUUAUGUUACUGCCAAUGUAUAACUUUGGCAGAACCUUGAUACAAUUAUUAGUUGUAGGUUAUAUGUGUGGUGAUAUAAAAGGGUGAUGAACAGGUGUUUAAUGGAAAGUUUGGAAGUUUAGCUAACAUUUAAGAAAUAUUAAACUAAUUUAUUAAUAUAUAAUCUUAAUUUUGAAAAAGAAAAAAAAAUCUCCAUAGUCUACCUAACUUAACACCGACUCAGAGCUAGAGUUGUCUCGUCCAAUAUACAUAUGAGCACCCUUCUGCAUAUUGAACUAGCCCCUUGGAAAAAAGGGAAAACCAUCCACAACCACUUGAAUUUGUAUCACUGAAUAUCUAGUGUGUACUGAAAAGUUUGGAAAUCUAACUACACAUGUAACAAAGUUCCAACUAUUUUUUUCUAUAGAUAAUCUCAAUUUUGGCAACCAAAAAUCUCCAUAGUACCUAAAUUAAAGACGACUCCGAUCUAGAGUUGGUCUUGCCCCAUACGUUCCGACAAAUAAAACACGACAUCAUAUUUAUGAGCACCGCCUGCAUAUUGUGCUAGCGGGUAAGGGCCAUUCUUUUGGGCGGCUUAAAAAAUAAGCCGCCUCUCCAAGCUUCAAAAAUAAGCCGCCCCUAAUUUUGUUGACACUUCUAAAUCAGUUAAUCCAUAACUAGUUUAAAAGUCUUAAUAAAUAAAAAAGGCGGCUUAUGAAAAAUGCCGGGGAGGAGGCGGCUUAUUUUUUUAAUCUACCAAAAGAACUUGUCCUUGGUAUCAGGUGAUACCACCAUUCGCAUGCACAAGUGCUCCUAAUUAUAGAAACUCGCACUUAAAUGUUUUAAAAAUUCACAAAAGUUGUGGAUGUUCACAAGGGAUGUCUACAACUAUUUAAAAAAUCAAAUCCAAAAUCAAAAUACACAUAGAGAAACAAAAAAGAAAAAUUCUAAUAUGAAUAGUGUCAAAAAAGACAAAAACAUGAACAACGUGGAAACAUGACGCUAUUCACAUCUGGAUUUCCUUUUUUGUUUCUCUAUGCAUGUUACGAAUUUUUGUUUGAAAAUUUUAAGGGCUGCAGAUACUUGUCUUAUAGACAUGCACACGAAAAAAAAA